UGAGUGGCGACGGGUGAGUAACGCGUGGGCAACCUGCCCUGUACAGGGGGACAACACUUAGAAAUAGGUGCUAAUACCGCAUAACGGGGGGAGCCGCAUGGCACCCCCUGAAAACUCCGGUGGUACAGGAUGGGCCCGCGUCUGAUUAGCUGGUUGGCAGGGUAACGGCCUACCAAGGCGACGAUCAGUAGCCGGCCUGAGAGGGCGGACGGCCACACUGGGACUGAGACACGGCCCAGACUCCUACGGGAGGCAGCAG
RNAcentral lists this ribosomal RNA (259 nucleotides) under uncultured bacterium. Its description in RNAcentral is "partial 16S ribosomal RNA". It matches the Rfam family "Bacterial small subunit ribosomal RNA", at positions 92 to 354 of the family's 1533-position model. The record is from RNAcentral.